AGAAUCAACGCUGGCGGCGUGCCUAACACAUGCAAGUCGCACGAGAAAGGGGAGCAAUCCCUGAGUAAAGUGGCGCACGGGUGAGUAACACGUGAAUCAUCUACCUCCGAGUGGGGAAUAACCUAGAGAAAUCUGGGCUAAUACCGCAUAACACUUACGAGUCAAAGCAGUAAUGCGCUUGGAGAGGAGUUCGCGGCCGAUUAGCUAGUUGGCGGGGUAAUGGCCCACCAAGGCGAUGAUCGGUAUCCGGCCUGAGAGGGCGCACGGACACACUGGAACUGAAACACGGUCCAGACUCCUACGGGAGGCAGCAGUGGGGAAUUUUGCGCAAUGGGGGAAACCCUGACGCAGCAACGCCGCGUGGAGGAUGAAGCCCUGGGGUGUAAACUCCUUUCGAUCGGGAAGAUAAUGACGGUACCGAUAUAAGAAGCCCCGGCUAACUUCGUGCCAGCAGCCGC
This 458-nucleotide ribosomal RNA is filed under the name uncultured bacterium. Its description in RNAcentral is "SSU rRNA". It matches the Rfam family "Bacterial small subunit ribosomal RNA", at positions 26 to 518 of the family's 1533-position model. The record is from RNAcentral.